UGGGGGAUAUUGGACAAUGGGGGGAACCCUGAUCCAGCGAUGCCGCGUGAGGGAAGAAGGUUUUCGGAUUGUAAACCUCUGUGGAUGGGGACGAUAAUGACGGUACCCAUCAAGGAAGCCACGGCUAACUACGUGCCAGCAGCCGCGGUAAUACGUAGGUGGCGAGCGUUGUCCGGAAUUACUGGGUGUAAAGGGAGUGUAGGCGGGAAAGCAAGUCAGAAGUGAAAACUAUGGGCUUAACCCAUAGCCUGCUUUUGAAACUGUUUUUCUUGAGUGAGGCAGAGGCAAGCGGAAUUCCUAGUGUAGCGGUGAAAUGCGUAGAUAUUAGGAGGAACACCAGUGGCGAAGGCGGCUUGCUGGGCCUUUACUGACGCUGAGGCUCGAAAGCGUGGGGAGCAAACAGG
This 404-nucleotide ribosomal RNA is filed under the name uncultured bacterium. RNAcentral's name for it is "bacterial SSU rRNA". It matches the Rfam family "Bacterial small subunit ribosomal RNA", at positions 355 to 776 of the family's 1533-position model. The record is from RNAcentral.